UACAGAGGGUGCGAGCGUUAAUCGGAAUUACUGGGCGUAAAGCGCGCGUAGGCGGCUUUGCAAGUCGGGUGUGAAAUCCCCAGGCUUAACCUGGGAACUGCAUUCGAGACUGCAUUGCUAGAGUAUGGGAGAGGGAAGUGGAAUUUCCGGUGUAGCGGUGAAAUGCGUAGAUAUCGGAAGGAACAUCAGUGGCGAAAGCGACUUCCUGGACCAAUACUGACGCUGAGGCGCGAAAGCGUGGGGAGCAAACAGG
Molecule: ribosomal RNA, 253 nt
Filed under: uncultured bacterium
Lineage: Bacteria
Description: partial 16S ribosomal RNA
Rfam family: Bacterial small subunit ribosomal RNA
Source: RNAcentral